Molecule: ribosomal RNA, 497 nt
Filed under: uncultured bacterium
Lineage: Bacteria
Description: partial 16S ribosomal RNA
Rfam family: Bacterial small subunit ribosomal RNA
Source: RNAcentral
GAUGAACGCUGGCGGCGUGCCUAAUACAUGCAAGUCGAGCGAACAGACGAGGAGCUUGCUCCUCUGACGUUAGCGGCGGACGGGUGAGUAACACGUGGAUAACCUACCUAUAAGACUGGGAUAACUUCGGGAAACCGGAGCUAAUACCGGAUAAUAUAUUGAACCGCAUGGUUCAAUAGUGAAAGACGGUUUUGCUGUCACUUAUAGAUGGAUCCGCGCCGCAUUAGCUAGUUGGUAAGGUAACAGCUUACCAAGGCAACGAUGCGUAGCCGACCUGAGAGGGUGAUCGGCCACACUGGAACUGAGACACGGUCCAGACUCCUACGGGAGGCAGCAGUAGGGAAUCUUACGCAAUGGGCGAAAGCCUGACGGAGCAACGCCGCGUGAGUGAUGAAGGUCUUCGGAUCGUAAAACUCUGUUAUUAGGGAAGAACAAAUGUGUAAGUAACUAUGCACGUCUUGACGGUACCUAAUCAGAAAGCCACGGCUAACUACGUG